This 3601-nucleotide long non-coding RNA is filed under the name Trifolium pratense (red clover). RNAcentral describes it as "long non-coding RNA (TPRA_LNC011617)". The record is from RNAcentral. Lineage: Eukaryota; Viridiplantae; Streptophyta; Magnoliopsida; Fabales; Fabaceae.
UUCGACUCAGAAGAAACGUCGUCCGAGCUUAAGGAGAUAAAGUCACCUCAAGUGAUUCAACAGAAGAAAAAGGUAAGGUUUUUGGUACCGGAGAGUCCAAAAAUAGACUCAGAAGCAAAAGAAGAAUUAGAGGAAGUGAUGGAAGCAAGAGAAGCUGGAAUAGCUUACAUUAUAGGACAUUCAUACAUGAAGGCUAAACCAGGGUCUAGUACUAUAAAGAAAAUAGCUAUUAAUUUUGUUUAUGAAUUUCUAAGGAGGAAUAGUAGAGCACCUUCAUUUGUACUUGGUGUACCUCAUGCAUCAUCUUUAGAAGUUGGUAUGAUGUACCAAGUUUAAAUUUUGGUUUAAAAAAUGAUAGAGUUAUUAUCAAUGUACAUAUUUUUAUUGUUAUAUAGUUUAGUUAAAAGGCCACACACCAUGUCAAGUGGUGGUAGAUAGAUAGUAGUGUACAAGUUUUUCCCUUCUUUAUUACGGUUAUACCUUAUCACUUACAAUUCAUUUGGCAUUUUUUUUGAACAAAAUUCAUUUGGCAUUUUGUUUUUUCAUUAAGCCAAUAGUAAUUUAUAUCUCAGUUGUUUAUAUGCUCUCUCAGUUUGGCUGAGUGUUUAUUUAUACUUUUGUUGGACAAAACAUGAUGUUGCAUGAGAAAUCUGUUUUAAGGACAAAACAUGAUGUUGCGUUUGUCUCUGCACGUUUGAGGUGUGACCUAUAUUUACAUCCACAUUAUCACAUGCAUGUACUGUAUGUAUGCUUUAGGCAUAUAACUUAAAUAACAAGUGCAAUGUGUUUGAUUGGGCAGUUUUCGAUUUGUGAUCGGCGCUUGUAAAGAGUAUCCUUUGUAGAAUGUCCUUGUGAUCGGUGCUAUAUAUACUUGUCUCGUCUUUGUUCAUCAUUCGCAUCCAACUUUAGCGUUUUCAAAAUUGUUUCACUUGCUUUUCGGUUUUCGGAUAAAAUGGCUGAUGCCUUUGAUUCUCUAUGCGACACCGUGUCUGGUAAGGAUUCUUGGUGGUUCUGAAGGCUGAUCAGAUAAAUUCUCUUGAAAUGGUGCUCAUCGAUGACAUGGUUUGUUUCAAAUUUCUUGAAAUUCAGGUUCAAUGUGUAGAUAUUUGAGUUAGGCCAUAGUUGUCCUUAUUAUGUUCUGCAUUUGCUAUAUAUAUAUAUGUAUAUAUAUAUAUAUGGCUUUUUAAGCGCAUCCAUUAGUUCUUCUUUCUGGUUGAUCUAUUUUUGUUGCAGUGGAAUUUCGUAUUCGACCUAUUUGUGCACACACCGAGUUUAUUUUGCCUAAUAAUCAAUGAUCAUCCCUUUCGUGAUAGUUUUGUGNNNNNNNNNNNNNNNNNNNNNNNNNNNNNNNNNNNNNNNNNNNNNNNNNNNNNNNNNNNNNNNNNNNNNNNNNNNNNNNNNNNNNNNNNNNNNNNNNNNNUCGUAUUCGACCUAUUUGUGCACACACCGAGUUUAUUUUGCCUAAUAAUCAAUGAUCAUCCCUUUCGUGAUAGUUUUGUGGAACUCCACCUAUUAAUCAUGAUAAUCAUAUUGGUGCAAAUAUUUGACUUUAAUUUUUUUUUAAGAAGCUAAAUUAUUCCACCUAGUUCUCGUGAGCUUAACUCGGUUGGUAGGGAGAAAUAUUACACUAUAUGUGCAGGAGUUGAGAUUCGAACCCCGGACACUCCCCUUAUUCACCUAUAAAUUUUUUAGCCACUACGCUACUUGACCAAAAAUAUUAAAUGACCCAAAUUGACACAAGAAAUAAUCGAACAAGAGACCUUAAAGAUGAGUCACUCCCAGGUCCCAAGCAAAUACAGACCAACCUGGAUGAGUUUUAUUUGACUUUAAUUAUAACUACUUUUUAUUUUUUGAAGGUAUGCCUAUGAGUGGUUAAUAAUACUCCACACUAAAUCGGAGUAAUUCAUAUAAUAAUAAUAAUAAUAAUAAUGAUUUUACUAUCAUGUGCAAAUUUGCAUAUAGGAAGAAAUUGAAAACCGUUUGUAUUGGAAUUUGUAUAUUUUAUAUUAAAUAUAUAACUUUUAAAUUAAUAAUUAUUAUUUUUUAUAUAUUUUAAUUAAUUAUUAUUAUUUUUUAUAUAAAAAGUUACUACAUGUAGUUGCUUUAACAUGUCCAAUAAUAUUGCACAUGUUAGACAAACCUAAUAAUAAUAAUAAGGUUUAAAUAUGUUGUUAGACUAUAUCAAAAAAUAUAGUAUAUGUUAUUGGUCUUGUAUCACAUUUUCAUAUUAAUCCCUAUAGUUUUUUUUUAUUUGGUUUGAGUUCCCACACUUUCAAAAGUUUUGGUUUUAGUCCCUACUAUUGGUGUGGUGUUAAAAAAAUAAAUGAAGACACGUUUCAUAAGUUUUUUUUUUAUCUGCUUACAUCUAAAACUUAAUUAUGAUGUCGAAAUUUCUCAUACUUGUGUAAUAGUAUUUUUUUCCUUCAAAAUUGCAAGUACGUAAACUCAUUUACCAGGGACAAAUUUAACACUAUGUAAAAUCAAUUCACUUCCUCCUGCGUGAAUUCAUUUCAUGGACAUGAUUUUAGUAAAUAAAAAAAAUCGUGAAAUUAGAUGCAAGUAUUUUAUGUGCAAUUGGGUUGCAUGUGGUGAAAAAAUUAUUUUUCAAAGAAUUUAAUUUAUAUAUAUAGUUGGUGUAAAAUUAUUUUACACAUGCGUUCAAUAAUAUACCGACACAUCACGUAUGAUAUUUAAAAACAACAUGGUGUGUCACAUUCAUUAAAUGAUGUGACGAAGCAUCAUUGAAUGUAUGUGUAAGAAAUCUUUACACUGACGGUGCACAACAAUUAAACUCAUUUUCAAAUUCAGGGUGUAACCAAAAGUAUUUGAAUUUUUCUCUUUCCACCCCCCAAUGUUUCUUCCAAGCCCCUUGAAAUUCCAAUUUUACCCUUAUAAAUAGUUUUUAGAAAAGGUUUUCCAAAAUUUAUAUUUUUUUGGAAUCAAUUUUUCAAAAUAGACUUAAAUGUAAUUUUUAGAUCUAUUUAUUUCCAUUCACAUUCAAUUGUUUCAUAUUCUAUUUUUCAAAAAGUUAACUAUUUCGGAAAAAAUUUCCAAAAUUCAAAUAUUUUGGAACGCAGAAUCCAAAUUUUUUUUGGAAAACAUUUUCCAAAGUGAUUUUGGAAAACGUUUUCGGAAAUCCUGUUAUCUGUGAUCAAAACUGCAAAUGUGCUGCUCUAACCUAAAUUUUCGUCGGUCUAAAUCAUUUUUUAUUCUAUUUUUAACACUAAUCUGUAUCCAAAAUAUAAUUGUGUUGAUGAAUGAGAGUUAUGCACACUUGCAGACGGGCAUAUAAUGUUUUGCAGCAAACCUGAAUUAAUUAAACAAAAUAAUUAACAUAUGAGAAGCUUGCGAAAGAUAGAUAAAAUUUGAUAAAUAUUUUGACUAAAAAGUGAUUGAGACCGAUGAAAAAUAAAGUUAGAAAAUAAAGUCACCUCAAGUGAUUCAACAGAAAGAAAAAAAAAAGGGUAAGGUUUUUGGUACCGGAGAGUCCAAAAAUAGACUCAGAAGCAAAAGAAGAAUUAGAGGAAGUGAUGGAAGCAAGAGAAGCUGGAAUAGCUUACAUUAUAGGACAUUCAUACAUGAAGGCUAAACCAGGGUCUAG